UGAGCUCCAACCUCCGCUGAUUCGACCAAUAGGAAGCGGCUGCUAGGAGCAGCAGGAUCCGCCGACCAAUCAGCGUUUGCCUGACGAGGUUGGCUUGCGUCCGUCGUAAUUGGCUGUGACGUAUGACGUCAGCAGCGCUGAGGAAGUCAGAGGCAGAGCGGCACAGAAACAAUGUCGAAAACUUAAGUUGAAUAAAGGAGUAAAACCGACGUUGAGCCGCCGCUUUAUCAGCACCGUGAUACGGUUCAUUACUGAACACGUCUGGAUGCUAGAACUGUUUCUGUCGAGCACGAGAGAGGCUGGAGGCUGAGCACACCUGAGGAUGUGACCGUGAACUGCUCAUUUUCUGAAACAGCCUGAAACGUUGGAGCUGAAGCAGCAGGUGAAUUUAGGCAGCUCGAGUUAACAACAAAGUGCAUUAAGAAGUGUCACCACUUGGUCGUUGACUGCAGAGAGACCUCGUACCAUAAAGACAGAGGUGCAGAAAACAGAAACACUUGGAUCCACUGAAGGAGGAGACGACAGCAGCUGAAGAUCUGGACCUGAAAAAGAGAUGAAGCUGAAAAAGAGGACUGCGGUGUUCCCCAGGGCUCAGUGCUAGGUCCUCUUUUUACCCUAUACCUGCUCCCCCUUGGUGUAAAAAUGGACCCCCACCUCAUUUACAAUGCCCACAUCCAACAACUCUGUAAAACCUCUUUCAGUCACCUCAAGAACAUCGGCAAACUCCAUCCGUUCUCACUCUGGCAGAUGCAGAAAAGCUGGUCCACGCCUUUGUCUCCUCCACCUGAGGGCACCGCAGGUCAUGGACACUUUUAAACGUGCCCUGAAAACUCACCUUUUUAAAAAGGCCUAUUGUUGCUGAUUUUAAUUGCUGUUGAUUUUACUCUGUAGCACUUUGAGAUUUGAUUUUAACUAAAAUAUAUUUUUAUAUUUAUUUAUUAUACAACAGAUCCACUUUAACCACCACCAUCUUACUGCUCCGUCACUUCCUGUUGAGUGGAGACGCUUUGUUUAAGUCUCCCACCUCUCACUAUAAUGAAGUUAUGAGCACAUGUUCCAUGUUAGUUUGUGGAACAUGUGCUCAUAUCUACAUUAUAGUGUUGUUAAACAAGUGGGAGACUACAGCAAGGCGUCUCCCAGUGGUCAGACAUCUGUCAUUAUCUCUGCUAUGGUUUGCUUAAUGUUUUCUGGAACAAAACCAUCAAAAGUUUCUGAAUUGAUGUUAUGUGAUGUUAUUUGAUUUAUUAAUAAAUUAUGCUACAUUAAAUAUACAUAGAUUAAUUCUAUUAUGACAGAUUGCAUUUAUUUGUACAGAUUACUUCUGUCAUGAAUUAUGUCAUUUGUGUAUUCAUUCUGUUUUAUGAAUUAAAUAAAUUAUU
Molecule: long non-coding RNA, 1379 nt
Organism: Lates calcarifer (barramundi perch)
Lineage: Eukaryota; Metazoa; Chordata; Actinopteri; Centropomidae
Exons: 5
Source: RefSeq, a predicted model, not a curated record